Molecule: long non-coding RNA, 700 nt
Filed under: Marmota monax (woodchuck)
Lineage: Eukaryota; Metazoa; Chordata; Mammalia; Rodentia; Sciuridae
Source: RNAcentral
CGCCCUUCUAGAGGUCGGCGAAGUGGACGCCACCCGGGAGGCUGGUCGCAGGUCGUUCCCUUCGCCGGACACUUGUUUCCGGUUCAGGGCCCUCACGAACGCUGCUUCAGUGCCUGGCGGGCAGGUGUUUGUGGGUACCGGCUUGGGCCUUUGGCAGGUGGUAGGGAGAAGGGAGAUGAAGGCUCAGCGCACUUCUGCCUCUGCGCACGCACUUUGUGGUGGGUUCUGUCCCCACCUGGGGCUGUUUCUUUCCCAAGAGGAAAGCGAUUGCACAUCAGAGGUUCUAGUUAACUGAAGGAAAUCCUCCCAGAACUGGUCAUGCUAGCCAGCCUACCUGUUCUAGUUAACUUGUGAAAGUUUCGAUUUUUGGAAAUGCUAAAGAUUAGCAGCUCAGUUGGUAGAGCGCUUGCCUCGCAUGCACAAGGAAGGCCCUAGGUUCAAUCCCCAGCACCACACACACAAAGCCGUGGUACGGGCCUGUGAUCCCAGCGACUCCGGAGGCUGAGGCUGUGGCAAGUUCAAGGCCAGCCUCAGCAACCUGGGGAGACUAUCUCAAGAUAAAGAAAAGGACUGGAGAUGUGUAGUUCAGUGGCAGAGGAGACCUAACAAUUUUCAGUUAAAUUCUCGAAGCCUAACUGUAUAAAUGACAGAACAAGAUGCCUGGGACGGAACUGGAAUGUAAUAUAAAAUGCACCCAAAC